UAGUAACGGCGAGUGAAGCGGGAUGAGCUCAAGCUUAAAAUCUCCGUGCAAAUUUUGCAUGGCGAAUUGUAGUCUAUAGAGGCGUGAUUAGCAUAGGCACUUGGGGCAAGUUCCUUGGAAGAGGACAGCAUCGAGGGUGAUACUCCCGUUUAUCUCCGAGUUGCUUAUGCGUACAAUCCGUUUUCUUUGAGUCGCGUUGUUUGAGAAUGCAGCGCAAAGUAGGUGGUAAAUUCCAUCUAAAGCUAAAUAUUGGUGCGAGACCGAUAGCAAACAAGUACCGUGAGGGAAAGAUGAAAAGAACUUUGAAAAGAGAGUUAAAGAGUACCUGAAACUGCUGAAAGGGAACCAAAUCGUUUCCAGUGUCUAUAAUCUGUGGUAUAUUUCAUUGGCGAAUGUGUGCGUGCGUGUACUAUGGCAGCGGCUUUUUGCUGCGCCUUGUGUGUGUGUGCACUUUCUCGCUGAUGCCCUGUACCGUGGUGGGACGUCAAUGUCGGUUCGUAAAUUGCGGGAAAUGACUGCCGAGGAGGUAGGGCGAACGCUUGCGUUUGUCUGUUAUAUCUUGGCAGACGUAGUAGUCGCGGUUGGGACUGAGGUGCCUACAAUGUGCUUAUGAGUAGAAUUGAUUCUCCGUGUGCGCCGUGUGCGGAUAGCUUGCUAUGCGUGUGUGGCUGCGUGUGGAU
This 680-nucleotide ribosomal RNA is filed under the name Bremia lactucae (lettuce downy mildew). Its description in RNAcentral is "LSU rRNA". It matches the Rfam family "Eukaryotic large subunit ribosomal RNA", at positions 81 to 634 of the family's 3401-position model. The record is from RNAcentral. Lineage: Eukaryota; Oomycota; Peronosporomycetes; Peronosporales; Peronosporaceae.